Homo sapiens (human) is the source of this 926-nucleotide long non-coding RNA. Ensembl annotates it as long intergenic non-protein coding RNA 2362. The record is from Ensembl. NCBI's taxonomy places the organism in Eukaryota, Metazoa, Chordata, Mammalia, Primates, Hominidae.
GAGCCCAUGGCAUUCAAAUUUCUGUGCCCUUCUCUCCUCUCCUUGGUUCUCUCCCAUGUUUUGUCAAACUUCCCACACCCAGCUCCUUAACCAAAGGGACUGGCUAGGUCAGGCAGAGGUUGAGUCAAGAGUGCUCAGGUGUCCCAGGAUGACUGUCAAGAGUGGUGGCAGCUCUCCUAUGUCUCAGCCCCCCAGGAGCACCUCAGCCCUGCAACGGCAUCAAACUGGGUGGCACACACUAGUAUGGAGCCAGAAAUCAGUCAGUGGGAAUAUGAUGCACCCAAUUUUACAGUGACUGUGUCCUGAAACUCCCUGUCCUUUGUUCUUUCAACAAAUAUAGAUUGAGCAGCCAUUAUAUAUCAGGCACUAUAGGAGUUCCUGGAGGAUACUGGUCUGAAGUUAGCAUGAUCUUGACUCAAGAAACUUAUAGUCCUGAUAAGAACUUCCACCAGAAUUCCAGAUAAGGCAGCACAGGCCUUGCUGUUUGCCCAUGCCCAUGCGGUCAGCUCUCUUGGGUACCGUGGCAUGCAGAUGCAGACACUCACCCAAGACACCCUGUAGUGCUGAUUACUGGCUGAAGACACUGAAUAUCUGAUAUAGUUUGGAUGUUUGACCCCUCCAAAUCUCAUGUUGAAACUAGAUUCCCAGUGUUGGAGGUGGGGCCCGGUGGGAGGUGUUUGGAUUGUGGGAUUGGAUCCCUUAUGGCCAUCUUGGUGCCAUCCUUGUGGUAAUGAGCAAGUUCUUUAUCUACUAGUUCCUGAGCGAUCUGGUUGCUAAAAAGAGUCUAGCAGCAUCAUCCGCUCCCUCUCCUCCUCUCUUACCAUGUGAUAUGCACACACCGGCUACCCUUCACCUACUGCUCCAGCACCACGCUUCAUGUACAGCCUGUAGAACUCUGAGCCAAAUAAACCUCUUUUCUUUAUAAA